Molecule: non-coding RNA, 78 nt
Organism: Datura stramonium (jimsonweed)
Lineage: Eukaryota; Viridiplantae; Streptophyta; Magnoliopsida; Solanales; Solanaceae
Source: the annotation of a GenBank genome assembly
GACAGUUUGGCCGAGUGGUCUAGGCGCCGGAUUUAGGCUGCAGUCCGAAAGGCGUGAGUUCAAAUCCCACAGCUGUCA